CGGAGUGUAGCGCAGCCUGGUAGCGCACCUCGUUCGGGACGAGGGGGUCGCAGGUUCAAAUCCUGCCACUCCGA
Molecule: transfer RNA, 74 nt
Organism: Methyloceanibacter methanicus
Lineage: Bacteria; Pseudomonadati; Pseudomonadota; Alphaproteobacteria; Hyphomicrobiales; Hyphomicrobiaceae
Rfam family: tRNA
About the family: Transfer RNA (tRNA) molecules are approximately 80 nucleotides in length. Their secondary structure includes four short double-helical elements and three loops (D, anti-codon, and T loops).
Source: Rfam